This 1170-nucleotide long non-coding RNA is filed under the name Homo sapiens (human). RNAcentral's name for it is "HSALNT0346694". The record is from RNAcentral. Lineage: Eukaryota; Metazoa; Chordata; Mammalia; Primates; Hominidae.
GGAUCCACAGUGAGCUGGUCAGCCGAGGCUCUGGAGAGCUGUCGGGGGUGGAUGGAGUCCUGACUGAACAUGCCACACUUGGACUGCAGCUUAGGGAUCCCAAAAGGCAACCCACCUUGAGUUAACUCAGGGGACAUGUGAGUUGCUGGGCUAAAGCAUUGAAGGGCGUCUUGCUUCUAAGAUAAAGACUAAAGCUCAGGCUAUCCUGAGCAAUUCUUCUCUAACUCAAGAAGUUCUCUUCCCUAGGAGGGCAAAUAACAAAGCCUGGUCUAUUUCUAGCAGUUCCUCCCUGUCUCAGGAUAUUGCAUGCUCACACAUGCUUCAACUAUUCUGAGAACUACAAUCAACAAGACAGAAGAAGACUAGAUGAUGUUUCCUUUCCUGCCCAAUUUAUCUGGUUAAAACGUCUGAUACACUGUUGAAUAGAAGAGGCAAGGGCACAUGUUCAUGUCUUGUUCCUGAUAUUGGGAGAAAGCAUCCCGUUUUUCACCACUCUGGCCAGGACAGCCUAUCUGUGCAGGAGGCAUUGCUGGCACCCCGUGGGGACUGAGGACCAAGGAGGAGCUGCUCCCCCACACACGGUUCGUACUUCUGCUCUGUGAAGAGAGACAACUGUGCCCUGUCACCUUCACUGAACUAUGAGGUGUGUCCUGAUGCUGUGCAUGACAUCUUGGGUUUGCAGAACUGUUCACUCUCUCCCUGGAUUUAAAAUGAGUUCAAAUUAUAAGACCUUCAUUUUAUUGGUAAUAUAUUAAAAUUUGGGGGAAAGAACUAGUUUUAAAACUUUCUAUUAAGCCUAAAGUAGUGGCAAAUUUCAUAAUUAGAUUGCACAAUAUUGGAUAGCUUAAAAAUUUCAAAAUUGCCAAUUUGUUACUUGUCUGUAUUUGAUGUAUACUGUAAAAUACAAAAUGCACUUUAUGUUUUCCAUCGUGCAACAGUGAAACACUGGAGAUUCAUUCAAUCAUAUAACGGGUAUUUAUUGAAUGUCCAUGAUACGUCAGGCAACUUGGAUUGCUAAGAUAAAUAAGAUGUUUAAGUAGUGUCAUUUAGUGUUACAGAUAUGAUGACAGAAGUAUGUGCUGUAUAUAUUAAUGCUUCUGAAGCAAAGUGUGGGCAGGCAGAUUACUUUAUAAAAAGAAAUAAAAGUCAUCUCAAUUAGAAGGAAAGAAG